CAAUAUUUAAAAUGGCGACACCAACAAAGGACACAAAUCAUUUUGACGAUUUAUUAACGGGUACAAUUUGUUUGGAAACUUUCAAAGUUCCGAAAUAAUUGCCAUGUCUCCAUACUUUCUGUGAAUCGUGUAUACAAACUUACAUUGUAUUAUUCACGCAAAAGGAAAAGCAGUCUGAGGAAUUCAAAUGUCCGGUAUGUUGUACAGUUGUUUCAUCCGACAAAACACCAGGAAAACAAGAAGCAAUGGCAUGUAAUCUACCGACGAACCAUAUUGUGAAGUCGAUGCUGGAUAAGCGAGUUAUUCAAAGGUUUGAACAAUUGUGUAACUCAUGUCAAAUAAACAAUGAGACAAUAACGGCAAUUUCUUGGUGUACUACUUGUGAAGAGGCAUUUUGUGAACAAUGUGAUAAAUGUCACAAAUCUUUCAAAUUU
Molecule: long non-coding RNA, 434 nt
Filed under: Mytilus galloprovincialis (Mediterranean mussel)
Lineage: Eukaryota; Metazoa; Mollusca; Bivalvia; Mytilida; Mytilidae
Source: RNAcentral